Molecule: unclassified non-coding RNA, 221 nt
Filed under: Hevea brasiliensis (rubber tree)
Lineage: Eukaryota; Viridiplantae; Streptophyta; Magnoliopsida; Malpighiales; Euphorbiaceae
Source: RNAcentral
AUCGCCUGUACAGGCGCCACGGGUUGCCGGUUCGCGGCCGCUCACACCAAGGAGAAUGCCGACGAGAUCGCAGCCUGGUGCGAGGAGCGGGUGCCGCUGGAGACGCCGGUGAACAUUCAUCUCACCGGAUGUCAUCAUUCCUGCGCCCAGCAUUACAUCGGAGACAUCGGCCUGAUCGGUGCACGCGUUCCGAUCAAUGACGAUGGCGACACCGUCGACGG